CGAGGGGGGCUAGUGUUGUUCGGAAUCACUGGGCGUAAAGGGAGCGUAGGCGGGAGCCUAAGUUGGGUGUUUAAUUCCGGGGCCCAACCCCGGGCAUGCACUCAAAACUGGGCUUCUUGAAUAGGGGAGAGGUCGAUGGAAUUGGAGGUGUAGCGGUGGAAUGCGUAGAGAUCUCCAAGAACACCGGUUGCGAAGGCGGUCGACUGGACCCAUAUUGACGCUGAGGCUCGAAAGCGUGGGGAGCAAACAGGAUUAGAUACCCUGGUAGUCCACGCCAUAAACGAUGAAGACUAGGUUUUAGGCCCGUCAACGGUCUAGAGCCGUAGCUAACGCGUUAAGUCUUCCGCCUGGGGAGUACGCCCGCAAGGGUG
RNAcentral lists this ribosomal RNA (371 nucleotides) under uncultured organism. RNAcentral's name for it is "bacterial SSU rRNA". It matches the Rfam family "Bacterial small subunit ribosomal RNA", at positions 526 to 896 of the family's 1533-position model. The record is from RNAcentral.